Molecule: long non-coding RNA, 1156 nt
Filed under: Mus spicilegus (steppe mouse)
Lineage: Eukaryota; Metazoa; Chordata; Mammalia; Rodentia; Muridae
Description: lncRNA (ENSMSIG00000015092.1)
Source: RNAcentral
UUCAGAUUUAAUGAAGGCUUUGCAUCUUGUGUUCAGGAAGCAAUCAAUUUUCUCACUUAGCUGGAGAGAGCUGUAGAGUUUUAGGGUCUCAUCGCUUCAUUCGCUCCUUUGUCUUCAGUGAUAGGGUAUACUUUUCCCUAGCAACUAUAAGAGAGUGGAUGGAAGUGUUUUUCAAUUUUAUGUAAUAAGAAACAAAAUAGGUGGAGAAAGAUCUCCAGCUUGGCAGUUCUCUGGUAAGACUUCUUGUCAGUAGUAGAAUGUGAAGUUUGUGAGUUAUGGUCAGUUUUGACCUGUAAGCUGAUUAAAUAGACUAGAAUAAAGAAGAAGAGAAUAGAAGACAUCAGACUAUAUUACAUAAGUUUUCUGAAAGUGGCUGUGACUCUUCUUCAAUCCUCACUGUGCCCUACAGUGUGAUUUCCAUGCUAUUCCCACCAACAGAGGAACUUUGUGCUACUUCUCUUCCAAUCUUGGCCCAAGAGCAUGAUGGAACUGAGCAUGUGUGAUGUCUGAGACCAAGCCACCAAAGUUUGUUUUCAGACAUCAAUAUCUGGCUUUGAGUGGCACAAAGAGAUAAAGGAAUGUGGAUUCACGGCUCACUGAGAUGCUUGGCAAUUCUAAUUCAACCCGACUGCGAAUGGACACAAGACUGUUGUGACUCCUCCUGAGGAGAGAGAAGGCUGGGUCUCUUUGGUAAAGAAUCUUUUUCCUGGAAUGGCAGAGGGCAACAGAAGCUGGAUUCAGAAGCACACAGAGCUGGGGAAUGUGCGCUGCAGUGGGACUCAGACAGGGAAAGGCUGCCAUCUUGUGGUCAGCUUGAUGCUCUGCAGUCUGUGAACUGUCCCUCUGCAGAAGCCAGCAACCCUGGAGGCAAGGAGUCUGAAUGCUGGAUUUCUGCAGGACAAUGUGGAUGCCUUUAGGAAUUACUCUGACUGUGUUCAGGUGCCCUCCGAGGUAGCCUCCAGCGGGUAUUCUGCACGUAUAUCGUCAUUCCUGGGGCAAGGCUAGGCCUCACAGACACUUUGCAGACUGAGCAGGACAACCAGCAAACAGUGAGAACAAACAGCCAGACACAUAUGUACCAUGUACUUACUGUGUUCCUGGAAGGCAGCCAUCUGAAAAACACCCAGGACAAGGUAAGGAGAUAAUAUCAAUAUAU